Bos taurus (domestic cattle) is the source of this 561-nucleotide long non-coding RNA. Lineage: Eukaryota; Metazoa; Chordata; Mammalia; Artiodactyla; Bovidae. The record is from Ensembl.
GUUUAACAAAGGGGAGGCUGGGCCUGGCGGGGCCUGGUGACUCCACGAUGAGCCACAGGUAGGGCAGGAGGUCAUCUGGCUGCCCGGGACAGCUGCUGGUCCCAGGACGCCACUUCUAACUCCUCCGGACUCUGAGAGACAGUGAACCCAGCUGUGUGCCUCAGGCUGCCGCAGAUGUUGGAAAGAAAACGCCUGGAGAUUCAGUCUCCGAAGGGUGACUUGUCUUGAAUGAUGAGGAAGGUCCAGUUGUACAAGUUCCAUCUGCUGCCCUUACCUGCAACACUCCUUCAAUGGUGAAUGGAACCUCAACUCUCCGGUGACCCCAGCCAUAAACUGGGGAGGCAUUCUGGACUCUUCAGUCCACAUCCAAUUCAUCACUAACCAUGAUAUCCUGCCUCUAAGGACCUCACAGAUCCAUCCUGUUCUCCCCAUCCAUCCUGCAGCUUCUUGAGUUUGAGCAUUACCUGAAUUAUGCAGUAGCCCCUGGUGGGUCUCCCUAGUGCCUCUCCUCAAAUCCCUUUCCCAAAAUGUGGUCAGAGUGAACUUUCUAAGCUAUAAAUC